CGUUAUAUUAAAAAAAAAUAAAAUGGAAAAAAUAUUAGAUGCAUUAAAUGCAAAAAUAAUUGCUGCAAAUAAACAUCAAGAUUUGAUUCAUAAAUAUAAAACAUUAAAUACAGAUGAAGAACGUAUAAUGUUUACUCUCAAUGUUAUGUCAGAAUAUAAUAUAGUUCCUCAAAUAUGUGAUAAUAAAAAAGAUGCAAAAGAAUCUGAAAAAUUAAGGGAACAGGGUAAUAAGAUAUUUGUUUCAACUCCAUUGAAAAAUUAUACUUGUGUAGAAGCACUGAAACUAUAUACUAAAAGCAUAGCUUGUGCUCCUUAUCCAUCUGAACAACUUGCUUUAGCAUAUGCUAAUAGAUCAGCUGUUUUAUUAAAAUUACAUAAAUAUGAAUUAUGCAUUCAAGACAUAGAUAGAACAUUAGCAUUAGCAUAUCCAAAUAAUCUACGUGCUAAGCUUUAUGUGAGAAAAGUUGAAUGUUUAAAUGCACUUAAACAUCCUAAUAUAGAAGACACUAUAAAAGAAGCACAAUAUUGGUUGGAAAAAAUGUCUUUGGAUGACAGAAAAAAAUUAAAUGAAAAAUUAAAAUCUAUAAAAAAUGUGUUACCAUCUCAAAAGUUUAAAAAAGAAAAGUUUAUGAAACAAGCACCGCUUCCUAAGAUAAAGACUCAUAAUAUUGAAGUUCCUUGUGCUUCUGAUGCAAUAACAAUAAAAUAUAAUGACAAAUAUGGUAGACAUAUUGUGGCUACCCGUAAAAUAAGUCCCGGUGAAGUAGUUGCAAUAGAAAAACCUUAUUCAUUAAUUUUAACUCCUGAUAAUAUACAUACUCAUUGUUCAAAUUGUUUAGAAGUAUCUUGGGCUAAUAUACCUUGUGAAUAUUGUACAUAUGCUAUGUAUUGUUCAGAAGAAUGUAAAGCUAUGGAAUGGAAAAAAUAUCAUGAUAUUGAAUGUGCAAUAUUUCCUUCUAUGUUACAAAUGAAUUUUGUUAAAUUAGAUUUAUUUAGUUUGAGACUUGCUAUUCAAGCUGUAAGAGAAGCUACAAGUAUACAAGAAUUAAGAAAAGAAUUAGAAGAAGUUGAUAGUUGUGAAGAUCCUCGUACAAAAGGUUUUUCUAAAAAUGGAAUGUUUCUUAGUGAUAAAUAUAGAAGUUUGUUAGGUCUUAUAACUAACACUGAAAAACGUUCAGUACAAGAUCUUUUUAGAAGAUCCUUAGAUGCAAGCUUUAUUUUAUAUUUUCUGGCAACGUGUAGUAAUAUGUUUGGAAGUCCAUUAAGGAAAGAUUUAUCCGUAUUAAUAAAAAAUGAUAAUGUUACAUUUGUUGGUGGUCUUAUAUUAAGACAUCAACAGUUGAUUCCUAGUAACAUUCACAGUUUCUCCGAAGAAUGUGGAUUAGAUGCAGUUGAACGUGGUAUUGUAGCUAUGCCAUUUUUUAGUCUAAUUAAUCAUAGUUGUAAUCCAAAUAUUUUAAGACAUUCAAGAUCUAAUUACAUGAUCAUUUAUGUUAUAUAUCCUAUUAAAAAAGGCGAACAGAUCUAUUCUUUUUUUUAAGUUAUAUGAUAAUUAUGGUCAACAUUAUGCAAUUACUCCAAAAGAAGAGAGGCAAAAAGAACUUUUGAAACAAUAUUAUUUUAAAUGUAAUUGUCUAGCAUGUCAAGAAGAUUGGCCAUUAUAUUACAAUUUAAAAUCCUUUAAAAGUUUAAUUAAGAA
RNAcentral lists this unclassified non-coding RNA (1699 nucleotides) under Apis florea (little honeybee). RNAcentral's name for it is "sET and MYND domain-containing protein 4, transcript variant X4". The record is from RNAcentral. Lineage: Eukaryota; Metazoa; Arthropoda; Insecta; Hymenoptera; Apidae.